RNAcentral lists this transfer RNA (85 nucleotides) under Blumeria hordei DH14. RNAcentral's name for it is "tRNA-Asn for anticodon GUU". It matches the Rfam family "tRNA". From Rfam's summary of the family: Transfer RNA (tRNA) molecules are approximately 80 nucleotides in length. Their secondary structure includes four short double-helical elements and three loops (D, anti-codon, and T loops). Further hydrogen bonds mediate the characteristic L-shaped molecular structure. tRNAs have two regions of fundamental functional importance: the anti-codon, which is responsible for specific mRNA codon recognition, and the 3' end, to which the tRNAs corresponding amino acid is attached (by aminoacyl-tRNA synthetases). tRNAs cope with the degeneracy of the genetic code in two manners: having more than one tRNA (with a specific anti-codon) for a particular amino acid; and 'wobble' base-pairing, i.e. permitting non-standard base-pairing at the 3rd anti-codon position. Lineage: Eukaryota; Fungi; Ascomycota; Leotiomycetes; Helotiales; Erysiphaceae. The record is from Rfam by way of RNAcentral.
UCCCUCGUGGCGCAAUUGGCUAGCGCGUUCGACUGUUACACAUCAUGAUAUCGAGAGGUUGGUGGUUCGAGCCCACCCGAGGGAG